GACGAACGCUGGCGGCGUGCUUAACACAUGCAAGUCGAACGAAAAGAGGGAAAGAGCUUGCUCUUUCCGGAAUUGAGUGGCAAACGGGUGAGUAACACGUAAACAACCUGCCUUCAGGAUGGGGACAACAGACGGAAACGACUGCUAAUACCGAAUAAGUUCCAAGAGCCGCAUGGCCCAUGGAAGAAAAGGUGGCCUCUACCUGUAAGCUAUCGCCUGAAGAGGGGUUUGGGUCUGAUUAGCUGGUUGGAGGGGUAACGGCCCACCAAGGCGACGAUCAGUAGCCGGUCUGAGAGGAUGAACGGCCACACUGGAACUGAGACACGGUCCAGACUCCUACGGGAGGCAGCAGUGGGGAAUCUUCCGCAAUGGGCGAAAGCCUGACGGAGCAACGCCGCGUGAGUGAUGACGGCCUUCGGGUUGUAAAACUCUGUGAUCCGGGACGAAAAGGCAGAGUGCGAAGAACAAACUGCAUUGACGGUACCGGAAAAGCAAGCCACGGCUAACUACGUG
RNAcentral lists this ribosomal RNA (513 nucleotides) under uncultured bacterium. RNAcentral describes it as "partial 16S ribosomal RNA". It matches the Rfam family "Bacterial small subunit ribosomal RNA", at positions 28 to 507 of the family's 1533-position model. The record is from RNAcentral.